CUUUGAUUUCUGCACCUAUAAGUUUGUAUGAUCUCUAUUUAACCGAACAUCGAUCAGCUCAGCUUUAUCCAUCAAUACAUACAUUUUCAUUUCGAUAACAAGAAAAAAAUGCCAGGGAUCACACUAGGAGACACGGUGCCAAACCUAGAGGUGGAGACGACACACAAGAACUUCAAGCUCCAUGACUACUUCGCCGAUUCUUGGACCGUCCUCUUCUCUCACCCUGGGGAUUUCACACCUGUAUGCACAACCGAGCUUGGUGCGAUGGGAAAAUACGCUCAUGAGUUCGAGCAGAGAGGUGUGAAGCUCCUUGGUUUGUCUUGUUGAUGGCGGCCAAACAUAAGAACAAGAUUGCCACGCCGGUUAACUGGAAACCAGAUGAACCGGUUGUUAUCUCACCAGCUGUGUCAGACGAAGAGGCUAAGAAGUUGUUUCCUCAGGGUUUCAAGACUGCCGAACUUCCGUCCAAGAAAGGCUACCUACGUGUCGCCGAUGUCUCUUGAAAGACCGAAAAGAAAGAAACUAGUUAUGUUGUAUGAGUGGAUUGUAUAAUAAUGCUCACAAUGGGUUGAUAAAAAUAUGAAAAACUACGUUUGUAACGUAUCGUGUGUGUACUCUGGAGGAUAUAGCCUUAUAUUAAUAGAAAUAAUGUAUGUUUUAUAAA
This is a long non-coding RNA of Brassica napus (rape), 664 nucleotides long. RefSeq lists it as uncharacterized. NCBI's taxonomy places the organism in Eukaryota, Viridiplantae, Streptophyta, Magnoliopsida, Brassicales, Brassicaceae. The record is from RefSeq and is a predicted model, not a curated record. The transcript is spliced from 2 exons.